Long non-coding RNA from Gasterosteus aculeatus aculeatus (three-spined stickleback), 2794 nucleotides. Lineage: Eukaryota; Metazoa; Chordata; Actinopteri; Perciformes; Gasterosteidae. The record is from Ensembl.
CACAGUGGUGGUCCUCUGCAGACUGUGUGCUGCGCAGGGUGACAUUACCGUUAGAUGUUAAGAUGGAAGUAGCCUAGCAGCUAGCUUAGCCUAGCAGCUAGCUUAACUUAGCAGUGCUUUAAGUGUUACGUUUGUCACUCACCCUCCUUCUGUUUGACACGUUUUUGUUAUAUGAAUAACUUUGGUAAAUACUCUAUUUUUUAGUUGACAGUUAGAUAAGAACUCAGUUUGUUGCAUAUUAAAGGCUGGCGCGUGCUUCUGCGUCUUUCCGCAUCGUUGUGUCGACGCACUCGUUUUAAUUCAUGGUUCUGAAAGUCUUGCGUGCGUUGCAGAGCAAUUCACCGCCAGAACAACAGGUGGAGUAACGUGUUUUUGUUGAAGACGACCUGGAGAGUCACGUCGUUGUGUGUGGAAGUCGUUGGUUUCUUUCUUUAUUUAUCAUAGACUUUGUUGCCCUGUGCAUCGCCACUGCUGCUAUACAUCGUGGACACAUUUGUCCCGUAUUUUCCUCCACAACUUUGUGCACUUCUCGACCGGCAAACCGACGUUUGCGGAGAUCUCCCUCCAUGAAUCAGAGGCCAUCCGCGCGUCCUUAUAGUCCGCCAAUGACGGCUUGUAUAAGCGGUCAUAUUUACGCAUUUCUUCCGACCAAAGUAUUUAAAUCUGAUCCGUUCUCUCGUAAACAUUCUUCGUUUUAAUAAUGGCGGUAUCGGGCUAUGAAAACGGAAACGUGAGACUCCAUAAAGGACGUGUUUAGCGGACCAAUCGCAGCCUUGUGCGCUGCGGGACACACGAGGGGCUCUUACGUCUGCGUUUCCUUGCGUCGCUCUGAAAACGCAGAAGCAUAAACUAGGCUUAAGUCAGGACAGGGUUAGCUUAGCUUAGCAUACAAAAUGUAGUCGUUCAAUCAAUCAACAAAGCUGAAUUACCUUUAGUUAUAUUCAGUAUCGUGAUAGCAAAGGUUCCUCUUCAGCCCCACAGACACAAAAGAGGUUCAAAUGUUUAAGUUUAAGUAAUAACAAUGAGAAUCAAACCGUUAGCUAUUUGCAAAGGAUAAAACUUCUGGGUUUCUAAUUUUUCAUCACAGUAAAGGCGAGAGACCCUUGUGUGUUCUUAUUUCAAGAACUUUAUUUUGUUUUGCGACAAUUUUUUAUGAUCAACAACAAUUGGAGUAAAAGAUUACAUCGUGGUCCAUCCUAAUAAUGGGAGACAUUUGAAAGCAAUUUCUAGAAUUAUAACAUUUACUGAGCAGAUUUUCAACAAUAUUAGAAGUACUAGUCUGAAUAAAUGUGCACUUAAUUUGCUUCUCUAAUAAUUCAGUCCUGGUACUUAUAAAUGUAAUUGAUUGAUUGAGGGUAGCCAUUACAUUUUAUUUUGAAAACAAAACAUUUAUUUUUUCAACAGAACUAGAGAACAAAAUAACAACAAUUUGAACUCACUGUAAUUUAUGAUAAAAAAAAAUCUGCCAAAAAAGUAAUUUAUAUGAGAAACAAUUAAAAUGUUUCAAUGUCUAACAAUUCUGGGAUUGCUGUCAUUUCUUUCUGCAUGGGAGUACGGGGUAUUGAUCACGUAUUUAUUGAUUAUUGUCACCAAAUCGGUAAAUGGUAAAGCAAAAGAGAACAGCUUUCUUGAGGAAAAGAUUCAUGCUUCUUAUGUCUCACUUCUGUUCUGAUAUCAGACUGCUUGGAUCGUUUUUAAUCUUCUUUCUGAGAAGUAAAAAACAGAAAGAAGAUUAAAAACGAUCCAAGCAGUCUGAUAUCAGAACAGAAGUGAGACAUAAGAAGCAUGAAUCUUUUCCUCGAGAAAGCUGUUCUUUUUUGCUUUACUAUUUACCGAUUUGGUGACAAUAAUCAAUAAUUACGUGAUCAAUACCCCGUACUCCCAUACAGAAAGAAAUGACAGCAAUCCCAGAAUUGUUAGACAUUGAAACAUUUUAAUUGUUUCUCAUAUAAAUUACUUUUUUGGCAGAUUUUUUAAUCAUAAAUUACAGUGAGUUCAAAUUGUUGUUAUUUUGUUCUCUAGUUCUGUUGAAAAAAUAAAUGUUUUGUUUUCAAAAUAAAAUGUAAUGGCUACCCUCAAUCAAUCGAUUACAUUUAUAAGUACCAGGACUGAAUUAUUAGAGAAGCAAAUUAAGUGCACAUUUAUUCAGACUAGUACUUCUAAUAUUGUUGAAAAUCUGCUCAGUAAAUGUUAUAAUUCUAGAAAUUGCUUUCAAAUGUCUCCCAUUAUUAGGAUGGACCACGAUGUAAUCUUUUACUCCAAUUGUUGUUGAUCAUAAAAAAUUGUCGCAAAACAAAAUAAAGUUCUUGAAAUAAGAACACACAAGGGUCUCUCGCCUUUACUGUGUUGAAAAUUAGAAACCCAGAAGUUUUAUCCUUUGCAAAUAGCUAACGGUUUGAUUCUCAUUGUUAUUACUUAAACUUAAACAUUUUAACCUCUUUUGUGUCUGUGGGGCUGAAGAGGAACCUUUGCUAUCACAAUACUGAAUAUAACUAAAGGUAAUUCAGCUUUGUUGAUUGAUUGAACGACUACAUUUUGUAUGCUAAGCUAAGCUAACCCUGUCCUGACUUAAGCCUAGUUUAUGCUUCUGCGUUUUCAGAGCGACGCAAGGAAACGCAGACGUAAGAGCCCCUCGUGUGUCCCGCAGCGCACAAGGCUGCGAUUGGUCCGCUAAACACGUCCUUUACGGAGUCUCACGUUUCCGUUUUCAUAGCCCGAUACCGCCAUUAUUAAAACGAAGAAUGUUUACGAGAGAACGGAUCAGAUUUAAAUACUUUGGUCGGAAGAAAUGCGU